RNAcentral lists this ribosomal RNA (400 nucleotides) under uncultured Pseudoflavonifractor sp. RNAcentral's name for it is "bacterial SSU rRNA". It matches the Rfam family "Bacterial small subunit ribosomal RNA", at positions 355 to 769 of the family's 1533-position model. Lineage: Bacteria; Bacillati; Bacillota; Clostridia; Eubacteriales; Oscillospiraceae. The record is from RNAcentral.
UGGGGAAUAUUGGGCAAUGGGCGCAAGCCUGACCCAGCAACGCCGCGUGAAGGAAGAAGGCUUUCGGGUUGUAAACUUCUUUUAUAAGGGACGAAAGAAAUGACGGUACCUUAUGAAUAAGCUCCGGCUAACUACGUGCCAGCAGCCGCGGUAAUACGUAGGGAGCAAGCGUUAUCCGGAUUUACUGGGUGUAAAGGGCGUGUAGGCGGGAAGGCAAGUCAGAUGUGAAAACUAUGGGCUCAACCCAUAGCCUGCAUUUGAAACUGUUUUUCUUGAGUACUGGAGAGGCAGGCGGAAUUCCGUGUGUAGCGGUGAAAUGCGUAGAUAUACGGAGGAACACCAGUGGCGAAGGCGGCCUGCUGGACAGCAACUGACGCUGAGGCGCGAAAGCGUGGGGAGC